UACGGAGGGUGCAAGCGUUAUCCGGAUUCACUGGGUUUAAAGGGUGCGUAGGCGGGCUUGUAAGUCAGUGGUGAAAGCCCGGAGCUCAACUCCGGAACUGCCGUUGAUACUGCAAGUCUUGAGUACACUUGAGGUGGGCGGAAUACAUCAUGUAGUGGUGAAAUACUUAGAUAUGAUGUAGAACACCGAUUGCGAAGGCAGCUCACUAAAUUGUAACUGACGCUGAGGCACGAAAGCGUGGGGAGCAAACAGG
This 253-nucleotide ribosomal RNA is filed under the name uncultured bacterium. Its description in RNAcentral is "partial 16S ribosomal RNA". It matches the Rfam family "Bacterial small subunit ribosomal RNA", at positions 524 to 776 of the family's 1533-position model. The record is from RNAcentral.